AGAGUUUGAUCCUGGCUCAGAUUGAACGCUGGCGGCAUGCCUUACACAUGCAAGUCGAACGCGAAAGGGGGGCAACCCCCGAGUAGAGUGGCGAACGGGUGAGUAAUACAUCGGAACGUGCCCAGUAGCGGGGGAUAACCUCUCGAAAGAGAGGCUAAUACCGCAUAUGUCCUACGGGAGAAAGAGGGGGAUCGCAAGACCUCUCACUAUUGGAGCGGCCGAUGUCGGAUUAGCUAGUUGGUGGGGUAAUGGCCCACCAAGGCUACGAUCCGUAGCUGGUCUGAGAGGACGACCAGCCACACUGGAACUGAGACACGGUCCAGACUCCUACGGGAGGCAGCAGUGGGGAAUUUUGGACAAUGGGCGCAAGCCUGAUCCAGCCAUGCCGCGUGGGUGAAGAAGGCCUUCGGGUUGUAAGGCCCUUUCGGCUGGGACGAAAAGGUCCGCGCUAACACCGCGGAUCCAUGACGGUACCAGCAGAAGAAGCACCGGCUAACUACGUGCCAGCAGCCGCGGUAAUACGUAGGGUGCAGGCGUUAAUCGGAAUUACUGGGCGUAAGCGUGCGCAGGCGGUCUAUUAGGACAGGUGUGAAAUCCCCGGGCUUAACCUGGGAACUGCGCUUGUAACUGAUAGGCUUGAGUGUGGCAGAGGGGGGUGGAAUUCCACGUGUAGCAGUGAAAUGCGUAGAGAUGUGGAGGAACACCGAUGGCGAAGGCAGCCCCCUGGGCUAACACUGACGCUCAUGCACGAAAGCGUGGGGAGCAAACAGGAUUAGAUACCGUGGUAGUCCACGCCCUAAACUAUGUCAACUGGUUGUCGGGGAAGCAAUUUCUUGGUAACGAAGCUAACGCGUGAAGUUGACCGCCUGGGGAGUACGGCCGCAAGGUUAAAACUCAAAGGAAUUGACGGGGACCCGCACAAGCGGUGGAUUAUGUGGAUUAAUUCGAUGCAACGCGAAAAACCUUACCUACCCUUGACAUGCCAGGAACCCUCCAGAGAUGGAGGGGUGCCCGAAAGGGAACCUGGACACAGGUGCUGCAUGGCUGUCGUCAGCUCGUGUCGUGAGAUGUUGGGUUAAGUCCCGCAACGAGCGCAACCCUUGCCAUUAGUUGCCACAUUCAGAAAGGCACUCUAAUGGGACUGCCGGUGACAAACCGGAGGAAGGUGGGGAUGACGUCAAGUCCUCAUGGCCCUUAUGGGUAGUGCUUCACACGUAAUACAAUGGCCGGUACAGAGGGCAGCCAACCCGCGAGGGGGAGCUAAUCCCAGAAAGCCGGUCGUAGUCCGGAUUGCAGUCUGCAACUCGACUGCAUGAAGCCGGAAUCGCUAGUAAUCGCGGAUCAGCAUGUCGCGGUGAAUACGUUCCCGGGUCUUGUACACACCGCCCGUCACACCAUGGGAGUGGGUUUCACCAGAAGUAGUUAGCCUAACCGCAAGGAGGGCGACUACCACAGUGAGAUUCAUGACUGGGGUGAAGUCGUGACAAGGUAGCCGUAUCGGAAGGUGCGGCUGGAUCACCUCCU
This 1524-nucleotide ribosomal RNA is filed under the name uncultured bacterium. RNAcentral's name for it is "bacterial SSU rRNA". It matches the Rfam family "Bacterial small subunit ribosomal RNA". The record is from RNAcentral.